Molecule: long non-coding RNA, 254 nt
Organism: Eptesicus fuscus (big brown bat)
Lineage: Eukaryota; Metazoa; Chordata; Mammalia; Chiroptera; Vespertilionidae
Exons: 3
Source: RefSeq, a predicted model, not a curated record
GGACGGACGGGCCCUUCCAGCCCUAAGGAGGCCGCCCGCGCUCUCUCCCGGCGACCUGGAAGCUUGGCCACGCUGCGCCAGCCUCCUCUGGCCUCCAACAGCGCACACGCUCUGGAAAGGUCCAAGAGGCUCCCCCACCCCCAGGGCAGCCGGGCCUGCGGCGCGGAGGCGGAGGGACGGCCAGGAGGGCAGGAAGCCCGGGAGGCAGGCUGUGUGCAUUUUGGAGAUGAGGAAACUGAGGAUUGAAAUGUUUA